Molecule: unclassified non-coding RNA, 286 nt
Filed under: Merulius serialis
Lineage: Eukaryota; Fungi; Basidiomycota; Agaricomycetes; Polyporales; Meruliaceae
Description: Phlebia serialis partial internal transcribed spacer region
Rfam family: Eukaryotic small subunit ribosomal RNA (bases 1-46)
Source: RNAcentral
AAGUCGUAACAAGGUUUCCGUAGGUGAACCUGCGGAAGGAUCAUUAUCGAGUUUUGAAACGGGUUGUCGCUGGUUCCCUCUCUCUAACGUGUGGGACAUGUGCACGCCUGGCUCAUCCACUCUUCAACCCCUGUGCACCUGUUGUAGGCUCGGUCGGACGGUUGACUUUAUCGUCAGCUUGAAAGCUUGGCCUAUGUUUUCUUACAAACGCUUCAGUCAUAGAAUGUAAAACAUCGCGGAUAACGCAUUUUAAAUACAACUUUCAGCAACGGAUCUCUUGGCUCUC